Molecule: ribosomal RNA, 486 nt
Filed under: uncultured bacterium
Lineage: Bacteria
Description: partial 16S ribosomal RNA
Rfam family: Bacterial small subunit ribosomal RNA
Source: RNAcentral
AUUGAACGCUGGCGGCAUGCCUUACACAUGCAAGUCGAACGGCAGCACGGGUGCUUGCACCUGGUGGCGAGUGGCGAACGGGUGAGUAAUACAUCGGAACAUGUCCUGUAGUGGGGGAUAGCCCGGCGAAAGCCGGAUUAAUACCGCAUACGAUCUACGGAUGAAAGCGGGGGACCUUCGGGCCUCGCGCUAUAGGGUUGGCUGAUGGCUGAUUAGCUAGUUGGUGGGGUAAAGGCCUACCAAGGCGACGAUCAGUAGCUGGUCUGAGAGGACGACCAGCCACACUGGGACUGAGCCACGGCCCAGACUCCUACGGGAGGCAGCAGUGGGGAAUUUUGGACAAUGGGCGAAAGCCUGAUCCAGCAAUGCCGCGUGUGUGAAGAAGGCCUUCGGGUUGUAAAGCACUUUUGUCCGGAAAGAAAUCCUUGGCCCUAAUACGGUCGGGGGAUGACGGUACCGGAAGAAUAAGCACCGGCUAACUACGUG